Molecule: long non-coding RNA, 1171 nt
Organism: Phymastichus coffea
Lineage: Eukaryota; Metazoa; Arthropoda; Insecta; Hymenoptera; Eulophidae
Exons: 7
Source: RefSeq, a predicted model, not a curated record
UUGUUCUCACUGUAUUUUGACUUUGAAGUUUGAAUAUUAUUAGUAUAAGCGUCUGUAUUCGUUGAUGUUAUUAAUUAUUAAUGAAUAAAAUUACAAUGAAAUCACUAUUAUUUACUUUCAUUGUUUAUAUAUACAGGAAGUAUUAGAUACAACUUUUGAGUUUGGUACUUUGUGAAAUAAUAGUAAACAUUUGUAAGCUGGUAGAAAAAUGGAAAAUAGUCCGCACAAUUGUACAUCAGUUAAAAUUAAGUUAGAAAAUAUUGAAAAUGUUUUUCCAGAUAUUUGGUUUGAAAACAAUGAUAUUAAUCCAUUGGCAAAGUCAAAAAAUGUUUAUAAAACAGAACUUGAUUUCGAUUGGAAUGAAGAACAUAAUAUUUUUGGUGAAAACUAUGAACUUUUAAAUCAGAUAAAAAGAUAGAUGAGUCAGAUAAUACAGAAAUUCUUGAUCAAAAAUAUUUAUCCAACAAAGUGAAGAGCACCAAACUGAAAAAAGAAAAAGGUACACAAAAGAAGCAGUACAAAACAUAUUGUAUGUAUUGUAAAAUAACAGAUGAAUGUGAAAAUCAUGUUACUACUUGUUCAAAGUGUAAAACUUCCUUGAUUUAUCAAUGUCAAAAGUGCAACAUAGUAUGUUCAACUGCUAGUAAAAUACUAUAUCAUAUAAGAAUAUGUAAUUCUAAGUUGUGCUGCUAUUGUUGUCCAGAGUGUACUUUUGUUUCCCAUCUUCGAAAUUCAGUACUGCAACAUGCAAAAAGAUGUCAUCCAACUCUUAAAUCGUACAAUAUUAAAAAGUCUAUAGAAAGUGAACAAAACAUUGAAAAAAUUAAAUUAAAUCAAAAUAAAUGUUUGACAUGUGGUCAACAGUUUAUUUGUACACAAAAUUUAAACAAUCACACUUUGAAUUGUUAUAAAUUUCAUUAUACCAGUUUAAUAGAAUACAAAGAUUCCAAUGAUGCAAGUAUUUUAGAUGCUGAAUUAAAUUCUAAUGUAAUAUCCCUAAAUCUAAAAAAAAUGUCAGUACAUUAUUGUCUAAAAUGUUCUAGAGAAAGUCAAAUAAAUCAGCCUAGUGUAAAAAAUUUUUGUAACAAUUGUCAAUCACUAUUAUUAUUAAAAUGCUUGAAAUGCAGCAAACAAUGUAAAUCAUAUAAGACCAUUAAAUAUCAUUUGCUAU